RNAcentral lists this microRNA precursor (119 nucleotides) under Glycine soja. Its description in RNAcentral is "MIR4374 microRNA precursor family". It matches the Rfam family "MIR4374 microRNA precursor family". The record is from Rfam by way of RNAcentral. Lineage: Eukaryota; Viridiplantae; Streptophyta; Magnoliopsida; Fabales; Fabaceae.
CAAAGAUGGUGCUUACCUCAACAACGUCUUUGAAAGUAGGCACUCUAAGACGUUAUUUACUUCAGCACCGUCUUAGAAUGCCUACUUUCAGAGACGUUGGUGAGGUAAGCACCGUCUUU